GCCUGGGUGGCUCAGUCAGUUAAGCAUCCAGCUUUGGCUUAGAUCAUGAUCUCAUGGUUUGUGGGUUCAAGCCCCACAUCAGGCU
Molecule: transfer RNA, 85 nt
Filed under: Felis catus (domestic cat)
Lineage: Eukaryota; Metazoa; Chordata; Mammalia; Carnivora; Felidae
Rfam family: tRNA
About the family: Transfer RNA (tRNA) molecules are approximately 80 nucleotides in length. Their secondary structure includes four short double-helical elements and three loops (D, anti-codon, and T loops). Further hydrogen bonds mediate the characteristic L-shaped molecular structure. tRNAs have two regions of fundamental functional importance: the anti-codon, which is responsible for specific mRNA codon recognition, and the 3' end, to which the tRNAs corresponding amino acid is attached (by aminoacyl-tRNA synthetases). tRNAs cope with the degeneracy of the genetic code in two manners: having more than one tRNA (with a specific anti-codon) for a particular amino acid; and 'wobble' base-pairing, i.e. permitting non-standard base-pairing at the 3rd anti-codon position.
Source: Rfam by way of RNAcentral